GAGGAAAGUCCGGGCUCUAUUUAUAAAUGUAUAGCUUUAUAAAAUAAAGUGUAGGUAACUAUAAGGAUAGUGCCACAGAAAUAUACCGCCUAAAUUUUUUAGGUAAGGGUGCAAUGGUGCGGUAAGAGCGUACCAAAAAUACUAUUAAAGUAUUUGUUAGGUAAACCCCGUAUUGGAGUAAAGAGGUUAGUAUAUAUAUAUAUUGAUGCUAUUUUUAUAAGUUUUAUAUCCUUUUUAUUUAAUUAAUCAUUUAUACUGCAUAAAGUAUUUCAUUUUACUUAAGAUUAAUAAUUACCCUUUUCAUAUUAAGUUAACUUGUAAUUUAAUUAUAGAAUUGAAAAGAACUAAACCCGGCUUAU
This 359-nucleotide RNase P RNA is filed under the name Symphyocladia marchantioides. Its description in RNAcentral is "Ribonuclease P RNA". The stretch from base 2 to 178 matches the Rfam family "Bacterial RNase P class A", at positions 44 to 222 of the family's 367-position model. Lineage: Eukaryota; Rhodophyta; Florideophyceae; Ceramiales; Rhodomelaceae. The record is from RNAcentral.